GUGCUCUCUUCGGUAGCACACAUACUAAAAUUGGAGUGAUACAAAGAUGAUUAGCAUGGCACCUGAGCAAGGAUGACAUGCAAAUUCAUGAAGCAGUCCAUAUUUUA
This is a small nuclear RNA of Mesoplodon densirostris (Blainville's beaked whale), 107 nucleotides long. Lineage: Eukaryota; Metazoa; Chordata; Mammalia; Artiodactyla; Ziphiidae. The record is from RefSeq and is a predicted model, not a curated record.